Molecule: ribosomal RNA, 814 nt
Filed under: Xenopus epitropicalis (Cameroon clawed frog)
Lineage: Eukaryota; Metazoa; Chordata; Amphibia; Anura; Pipidae
Description: partial 16S ribosomal RNA
Rfam family: Bacterial large subunit ribosomal RNA
Source: RNAcentral
UCCGUCAAUACCAACACCAUAUCCGAACCCUUUCUCCCUACUGAGCUGUUCAAUUCAGAUAUUGAAGCACUUAUGCUAGAACUAGUAAUGUGAAUCUAACAUUCUCACAAAUGCAAGUGUAAAUCAGAUCGAAUAACUCACUGAUAAUUAACGACCUUAUUGAGAAUACUUCAGCAACAACCCAAGAAAACCCUGAACCCAACAUCGUUAACCUAACACAAGAGCAUUUCAAGAAAGAUUAAAAGACGCAGAAGGAACUCGGCAAACUUUGAACCCCGCCUGUUUACCAAAAACAUCGCCUCUUGCUAAACAACAUGUAUAAGAGGUCCAGCCUGCCCAGUGACUAUAUGUUCAACGGCCGCGGUAUUCUGACCGUGCAAAGGUAGCGUAAUCACUUGUCUUUUAAAUAAAGACUAGUAUGAAUGGCACCACGAAGGUUCAACUGUCUCCUGCAUCCAAUCCAUUAAACUGUCCUCCCCGUGCAGAGACGGGGAUACGCCCAUAAGACGAGAAGACCCUAUGGAGCUUUAAACUUAAGGCAACUGCUAAAUAACCCUUCCCCACACGGAAUAACAUCCAACUAAGCAACAAUGACCCAAAGUUUUCGGUUGGGGCGACCACGGAGAAAAAAAAAUCCUCCUUGAUGUACGAGGCCUUACCCUCUUAGCCAAGAACGACGGUUCUAAGCAACAAAACAUUUGACCACUAUUGAUCCAGUCUUACUGAUCAACGAACCAAGUUACCCUAGGGAUAACAGCGCAAUCCAUUUCGAAAGUUCCUAUCGACAAAUGGGUUUACGACCUCGAUGUUGGAU